Molecule: ribosomal RNA, 468 nt
Filed under: uncultured Streptococcus sp.
Lineage: Bacteria; Bacillati; Bacillota; Bacilli; Lactobacillales; Streptococcaceae
Description: bacterial SSU rRNA
Rfam family: Bacterial small subunit ribosomal RNA
Source: RNAcentral
ACGGGGCCGCACAAGCGGUGGAGCAUGUUGGUUUAAUUCGAAGCAACGCGAAGAACCUUACCAGGUUCUUGACAUCCCGAUGCUAUUCUAGAGAUAGAAAGUUACUUCGGUACAUCGGUGACAGGUGGUGCAUGGUUGUCGUCAGCUCGUGUCGUGAGAUGUUGGGUUAAGUCCCGCAACGAGCGCAACCCCUAUUGUUAGUUGCCAUCAUUCAGUUGGGCACUCUAGCGAGACUGCCGGUAAUAAACCGGAGGAAGGUGGGGAUGACGUCAAAUCAUCAUGCCCCUUAUGACCUGGGCUACACACGUGCUACAAUGGUUGGUACAACGAGUUGCGAGUCGGUGACGGCGAGCUAAUCUCUUAAAGCCAAUCUCAGUUCGGAUUGUAGGCUGCAACUCGCCUACAUGAAGUCGGAAUCGCUAGUAAUCGCAGAUCAGCUAUGCUGCGGUGAAUACGUUCCCGGGUCUU